UUAUUCCUUCGAUAAAAAAAU
RNAcentral lists this non-coding RNA (21 nucleotides) under Caenorhabditis elegans. The record is from RNAcentral. Lineage: Eukaryota; Metazoa; Nematoda; Chromadorea; Rhabditida; Rhabditidae.